This 557-nucleotide ribosomal RNA is filed under the name uncultured bacterium. RNAcentral's name for it is "bacterial SSU rRNA". It matches the Rfam family "Bacterial small subunit ribosomal RNA", at positions 102 to 694 of the family's 1533-position model. The record is from RNAcentral.
ACGGGUGAGUAACGCGUGGGAAUCUACCCAUCUCUACGGAAUAACGCAUGGAAACGUGUGCUAAUACCGUAUACGUCCUUCGGGAGAAAGAUUUAUCGGAGAUGGAUGAGCCCGCGUUGGAUUAGCUAGUUGGUGGGGUAAGGGCCUACCAAGGCGACGAUCCAUAGCUGGUCUGAGAGGAUGAUCAGCCACACUGGGACUGAGACACGGCCCAGACUCCUACGGGAGGCAGCAGUGGGGAAUAUUGGACAAUGGGCGCAAGCCUGAUCCAGCCAUGCCGCGUGAGUGAUGAAGGCCCUAGGGUUGUAAAGCUCUUUCACCGGUGAAGAUAAUGACGGUAACCGGAGAAGAAGCCCCGGCUAACUUCGUGCCAGCAGCCGCGGUAAUACGAAGGGGGCUAGCGUUGUUCGGAUUUACUGGGCGUAAAGCGCACGUAGGCGGACUAUUAAGUCAGGGGUGAAAUCCCGGGGCUCAACCCCGGAACUGCCUUUGAUACUGGUAGUCUUGAGUUCGAGAGAGGUGAGUGGAAUUCCGAGUGUAGAGGUGAAGUUCGUAGA